ACUGAGUUGCAGGAAUAAUGAGUUUCAGACAUGUGCUCAGCAGAUCCUUCAUGUAGCUACAUUUUAGGGAGGUGAGUUAAAAGAGAUGCAGGUGACUAGAUUCAGCUGAAAUACAGUCAUAAUGUAUUUUAGUGAAAACUGGAAGGUUAAUCCAAUUUAGAAGUCAUUUCCUGACCAUCUACUGCUAGGCACAAUGGGGUAUGCAGGCAUAUUUAAGACAUCUUAGUUUGAAUUAGAAAAGGAAAUGGGAAUGGAAUUGUAGUUUCUUUGCUCCAGGCCUGCUAAUAACAUACAUAGUGGCUUUGUUCAUAGAAUCUGUUACUAAUAUUGGCCUCAUUCACUGAAGUAAUAAAAUAUCUCUAAAGCAGAUAAAAUAGCAGUUAGCAGAAGACUUAAAAUAUCAAACUAAACUAACAGAUCAGUAGAACAUCAAGGCAAAAGAAAUGUCACAGGAGACUGUUUACAGUAAUUAGGUUCAGCCAUAUAGGGAGCUUUGUUGUGAUUAAUUUGAGAUUUCAGAAGCUCUGACAGUCCUUCAUGAGGACUG
RNAcentral lists this long non-coding RNA (547 nucleotides) under Bos taurus (domestic cattle). RNAcentral's name for it is "long non-coding RNA NONBTAT022071". Lineage: Eukaryota; Metazoa; Chordata; Mammalia; Artiodactyla; Bovidae. The record is from RNAcentral.